GCAAGGCGUAGUUGGAAAAUAUACCAAUGUCGGCGAAAAAGACUUCGAUUCCUGGUGCACAAAGAGACAAGCGUUAUGUUGAAAAGCUAAAAGAAAGCAACAAAUACGACGAGUACAAAAAGAAAAAGGCCGAAGCAAUGAAAAAAUUGAGGGCUAACAGAAAAGAGGAAGAAAAACUAAUGCCAAUAAGUGAAUUGGGAAAGACGAUUUCUAUGCGCCAUGCUGCUGGCCGCGAAAGAAGCAAAAAAUAUCGACAGAAAUUAAAACAAUCAGCUAAAGACACCCAAAUUGAGAAGAAUCCAAGCUGCAGCCUUAGCGAAAUCAUUCAGAAAAGCCACACAAGAAAACAGCGGUAUUGACGCACAUUGUUGCGAAUUUGGACGAAGUUGAAAAACAAAAUUUAGUCAGUGUGUAGGGAAAAAAUUUUGAUUCCAACUAGACACACGACCCUUUCUAUUAGGGAAGCGUUUGCAUUAUUCACCGAAGAAAGAAAUAAAAAACAGCUAAGCUGCUGCUCACUAUCUUUUUUUAAAAAACAUCGCCCAGAGCACGUGAAGCCCAUUAACGAGCUACCCCAUAACACAUGUAUGUGCUCGUGUCACUCUAAUUUCAUGGAAGGUGUCUCUGCGCUGCAAAAAGUUGCUGCUAAUGUUCCCAGGUAUGAUGACGGUUUUGUUCGCCAGUUUUUGUGCCAGGAGGCAUCCAUGGAUUGCUGGUUUGCAAAAUGCAACAAAUGCUCUGGAAUAUCUGCAGAGUCGUUGAAAAGCGCAGUCGGCAGUGUUUCGCCUCAGUCGCCUGUGUCAUGGAUUG
Rhagoletis zephyria (snowberry fruit fly) is the source of this 810-nucleotide long non-coding RNA. RefSeq lists it as uncharacterized. NCBI's taxonomy places the organism in Eukaryota, Metazoa, Arthropoda, Insecta, Diptera, Tephritidae. The record is from RefSeq and is a predicted model, not a curated record.